Hibiscus syriacus is the source of this 864-nucleotide long non-coding RNA. RefSeq lists it as uncharacterized. NCBI's taxonomy places the organism in Eukaryota, Viridiplantae, Streptophyta, Magnoliopsida, Malvales, Malvaceae. The record is from RefSeq and is a predicted model, not a curated record. The transcript is spliced from 3 exons.
CAACCAAAAAGGCUAAAAGAAAUGAAUAAACCAAACCAAAAGCAGAAAGCAAAACGCAAAACGCAGGCCUUUCAACUUCUCUGAGCAAAAGCAGGAAACUUUGAUGGAUAUCGGGCAGAGAAGCGGGGAGAAGACAGAUUGAAACCUCUAUACCAAAAAACAACUUCGAAAGAAACACAUCUAAGGAGGAAUGAUGCACCUCCGGUCUUCAUCGGCUUGAACUUCAACAUGGCGCGGAGCUUCCUCAAUCCAGAAGGUGUCCUGUAGAAUCUCGACCAUCGCCGGCCGCCAAAAGGUGCGCCGCCAUAUUUCCCCUCUGAGGAGUGAAGACAAAACGACAUGUAACCAACGCUUCAGCACGUUUCUGUGCCUCCCAAAUGAGAGCACUCACCUCCGAGAGAUCGAUAUUUGGUGAAGCAAGCUUGGAGAUUAUUGAUCUUGAGUCCCCUUCAACAAUAACUUCACGAAAACCCAAAUCCGCAGCAAAGGAAAGUGCAUGGACGGUCGCGGUGGCUUCUGCAACAAACGCUCGCAUCAAAAUUGACUUUAAUCAUGUUCACGGGUGGAGGAUGCCAGCCCACUGACGGAGCAAUGGACGUGCCAUGAAGGCGAACAUUUGCUGCUGAGAAUUCGUUACAGUGAGCACGAAUGAAGGGAAUAAUAAGAAAAAAGGAUUCUUUGGGAAGUAAUGUCGCUGUAUCACACGUUGUUAAAACAUAUUGAAAUGCCUUGACAUUUCCGGCGCAGAAAAAGAAAAAAAUAUUUAUGCAUAAGGACAGUUGGCACUGGACAGUUGUCUCUGCACGUGAAGGACUGUUGUAAUUGCCUGCCAGAGCUGCCAAAGGACCACUGCCACUUGAAGGA